RNAcentral lists this ribosomal RNA (461 nucleotides) under uncultured bacterium. Its description in RNAcentral is "partial 16S ribosomal RNA". It matches the Rfam family "Bacterial small subunit ribosomal RNA", at positions 338 to 795 of the family's 1533-position model. The record is from RNAcentral.
CCUACGGGUGGGCAGCAGUGAGGAAUAUUGGUCAAUGGGCGAGAGCCUGAACCAGCCAAGUCGCGUGAAGGAUGACGGCCCUACGGGUUGUAAACUUCUUUUGUCAGGGAGCCAGUGGGUCCACGCGUGGGCUUAGCGAGAGUACCUGAAGAAAAAGAAUCGGCUAACUCCGUGCCAGCAGCCGCGGUAAUACGGAGGAUGCGAGCGUUAUCCGGAUUAAUUGGGUUUAAAGGGUGCGUAGGCGGAAUUUAAAGUCAGCGGUAAAAAUUCGGGGCUCAACCCCGUCGUGCCGUUGAAACUGGUGUUCUUGAGUGGGCGAGAAGUUAGCGGAAUGCGUGGUGUAGCAGUGAAAUGCGUAGAGAUCGCGCAGAACUCCGAUGGCGAAGGCGGCAUACCGGCGCCCAACUGACGCUGAAGCGCGAAAGCGUGGGUAGCGAACAGGAUUAGAUACCCCGGUAGUC